Molecule: long non-coding RNA, 330 nt
Filed under: Apteryx owenii (little spotted kiwi)
Lineage: Eukaryota; Metazoa; Chordata; Aves; Apterygiformes; Apterygidae
Description: lncRNA (ENSAOWG00000007920.1)
Source: RNAcentral
GUACUGAGCUGAUGGCAAGGGUGCUCAUCCUUCCUCCUCGGUCUCAGCAGACCGGCUACUGUUGGAUCCGCCUCAAAGGCUCUUUGGGUUUCCCAUGGCUGUGUGAGCUUCCCCAGGGACACUGCAGCUGGUGGGGCUGCACCCUCCUGUUGUGGCCUUCCUGCUGGAUCCUGCGAGGGCCUUUAUUGCUUUCCUUCUUCUGCAAGCUGGCAACAGGGGUGACAAGUGUUUUCAGAGGCGGCAACUGUUUGACUACGUUCCUCUGGAAAGGUAAGAGUCCACUUGGGCCCACUUUAAAAAGAGCGCAUAGCAUCCUGGGCUUUCCUCGAA